AACGAACGCUGGCGGCGUGCCUAACACAUGCAAGUCGAACGAGAAAGGGGCUUCGGCUCCGAGUCAAGUGGCGCACGGGUGAGUAACACGUGGGUAACCUGCCUCUAAGAUUGGGAUAACUCGUCGAAAGAUGAGCUAAUACCGAAUAAGACCACAGUUCCCGCGGGAACAGGGGUCAAAGGUAGCCUCUGCUUGCAAGCUAUCACUUAGAGAUGGGCCUGCGCACCAUUAGCUAGUUGGUAGGGUAACGGCCUACCAAGGCAAAGAUGGUUAGCUGGUCUGAGAGGAUGAUCAGCCACACUGGAACUGAGACACGGUCCAGACUCCUACGGGAGGCAGCAGUGGGGAAUAUUGCGCAAUGGGCGAAAGCUUGACGCAGCAACGCCGCGUGAGUGAUGAAGGCCUUCGGGUCGUAAAGCUCUGUCGGGAGGAACGAAUGCUCCUGAGGUUAACAGCCUCGGGAGGUGACGGUACCUUCAAAGGAAGCACCGGCUAACUCUGUG
This 503-nucleotide ribosomal RNA is filed under the name uncultured bacterium. RNAcentral's name for it is "partial 16S ribosomal RNA". It matches the Rfam family "Bacterial small subunit ribosomal RNA", at positions 29 to 507 of the family's 1533-position model. The record is from RNAcentral.